AUGACUGCUCUUAUCGGUAUGGCUCCUACCGAGGAGGGAGGACAAGAGAAGAAGAAGAAGGAAAGGAAAGCAGACAGAGCUGCUUUCUCAUGGAUUCAAGCAAACUUUGCUCAUUUCCCCGUGGAUGCCACUGAUGAUGUGAUCCAGACAGAUGCUCGUGUCUAUAUGUGGUACGUUAUCUCGAGGACUUUCUUUUCCGACGCCACAGGCAAGAACACUCCAUGGAUGUGGCUGAAGGCGUUGGCCAUCUUUGAUAGCAGAUGGAGUUGGGGUUCAUCGACUCUUGCCUACUUGUACCGACAGGUAGUUGGUUUGUUUUGUUAUCAAUUCAUUUCUUCAUUAGUAAUGCAACCUUGCUGUUAA
RNAcentral lists this ribosomal RNA (363 nucleotides) under Triticum aestivum (bread wheat). RNAcentral describes it as "partial small subunit ribosomal RNA". Lineage: Eukaryota; Viridiplantae; Streptophyta; Magnoliopsida; Poales; Poaceae. The record is from RNAcentral.